RNAcentral lists this ribosomal RNA (642 nucleotides) under Triticum aestivum (bread wheat). RNAcentral describes it as "partial small subunit ribosomal RNA". Lineage: Eukaryota; Viridiplantae; Streptophyta; Magnoliopsida; Poales; Poaceae. The record is from RNAcentral.
AUGGCAUCCUCCUCUCCAGGCCAAACUGGAUGCUAUGUUCGUCCGCUUGGUUCCGACCAGCCACCGAGGUACAUUGGGUGGCUGGAGAUGGUAAAAGUGCUGUGCAUAGAGAUAUCAGCCCUCAUCCGUGAUAGCCUGCAUUGGUUCCUACUUGAGGAUAGAAAACAUGUAUUGGUAUUUGACACCACCACCGAGUCGUUCCGGCACAUGCGUGCUCCAAUUGUUCCUGGCGGCAGUGACCCUGGCCUGUUUGAGAUGGAUGGCACGCUCGGCAUCGAUUGCCAUAAUGAUGCCAUGGAAAUUGUCACUAUAUGGGUGUUGCAGGAUUAUGAAAGUGAGGUUGGGGACAUAAAGUACCGAAUCAAAUUGCCGGUUGGUGAAAUCAGGGACAAGUUUAGAGACGAUGGUGAAAGAUGGGGUUUGGGUGUUGGUGUUCUUUCAGGGGAUGGUGACGUGCUCUUGCUGCUCAAUUUUCGUGGGUGGUUACUUCAAGUUGACAGUGACGGAAAAUUGAUUGAAAGUUUCGAUUGUGGUCAUAGAGACCUGCAGAUAUAUGAAUAUCGUCUCAAACAAAGUCUUGUCCAGCAUACCUUCUUCCCGGCUCUAAAAAGUUAUGCUGGUAGUGCCUUGCCUUUGAUCUGA